Molecule: small RNA, 44 nt
Filed under: Sinorhizobium meliloti 2011
Lineage: Bacteria; Pseudomonadati; Pseudomonadota; Alphaproteobacteria; Hyphomicrobiales; Rhizobiaceae
Description: putative ncRNA
Source: RNAcentral
GAACGGCUGAGUCGUCGGUCUAUUCCCUCUUCUAGCCAAAUUGC